RNAcentral lists this ribosomal RNA (403 nucleotides) under Verrucomicrobiota bacterium. RNAcentral's name for it is "Verrucomicrobia bacterium partial 16S ribosomal RNA". It matches the Rfam family "Bacterial small subunit ribosomal RNA", at positions 355 to 776 of the family's 1533-position model. The record is from RNAcentral. Lineage: Bacteria; Pseudomonadati; Verrucomicrobiota.
UGGGGAAUAUUGCACAAUGGGCGCAAGCCUGAUGCAGCAACGCCGCGUGAACGAUGAAGGUCUUCGGAUCGUAAAGUUCUGUUGCAGGGGAAGAUAAUGACGGUACCCUGUGAGGAAGCCCCGGCUAACUACGUGCCAGCAGCCGCGGUAAUACGUAGGGGGCUAGCGUUAUCCGGAUUUACUGGGCGUAAAGGGUGCGUAGGUGGUCUUUCAAGUCGGUGGUUAAAGGCUACGGCUCAACCGUAGUUAGCCUCCGAAACUGGAAGACUUGAGUACAGGAGAGGAAAGUGGAAUUCCCAGUGUAGCGGUGAAAUACGUAGAUAUUGGGAGGAACACCAGUAGCGAAGGCGGCUUUCUGGACUGCAACUGACACUGAGGCACGAAAGCGUGGGUAGCAAACAGG